UUCUUUUUCUAAUUCAUUUAGGUGGUGGGUUAAGUUGUCAAUUUGAGAUUUUUCUUUUUUGAGGAAACCCUGUAUCACUAUGAAUUUCCCUCUAAGCACUGCUUUUGCAGCAUCCCAUAGAUCUUGAAUGGUUGUGUCUUCAUUAUCAUUUGUCUUGAGGUAUUUUUUAAUUUCCUUUUUUAUUUCCUCAUUGACCCAUUGGUUUUUUAGUAGCAUGUUGUUUAAGUCUCCAUGUAGUCAGUUUUUUCUCAUUUCUCUCCCUCUGGUUGAUUUCUAGUUUCAUGCCAUUGUAGUCAGAGAAGAUACUUGAAGUAAUUUCUAUACUGUUAAAUUUGUUGACGUUAGUUUUGUGCCCCACUAUGUGGUCAGUCCUUGAGAAUGUUUCACAUGCACUUGAAAAGAAUGUAUACGUUCUGAUUUUUUUGGAUGUGAUAUCCUGAAAAUACCAAUUAAGGCUAAACUUUCCUAUUGUGUCAUUUAGGAUUUCUGUUGCCUUGUUGAUUUUCUGUCUAGAGGAUCUGUCCAUUGAUGUGAGUGGGGUGUUAAAGUCUUCUACUAUUAUUGUGUUCCCAUCCGUUUCUCCUUUUAUGUCUGUUAGUAUUUGUUGGAGGUAUCUGGAUGCUCCUAUAUUAGGGGCAUGUAUAUUGACAAUUGUAAUAUCCUCUUGAAUGGAUCCUUUAACCGUUAAAUAGUGUCCUUCUUUGUCUUUCUUUAUGGCCUUUGUUUUAAAGUCUAUUUUGUCUGAUAUGAGUACUGCAGCUCCUGCUUUCCUGUCUUGUCCAUUGGCAUGAAAUAUCUUUUCCCAUCCCCUCUUGAGGUAUUUUUAAUUUCCCUUUUGAUUUCCCGUUGACCCGUUGGUUUUUUAGUAGCAUGUUGCUUAGUCUCCAUUUAGUCAGUUUUUUCUUAUUUCUUUUCCUAUGGUUGAUUUCUAGUUUCAUGCCAUUGUGGUCAGAGAAGAUACUGGAAAUAAUUUCUAUACUUUUAAAUUUGUUGAGGUUAAUUUUGUGCCCCAGUAUGUGAUCAGUCCUUGAGAAUGUUACAUGUGCACUUGAAAAGAAUGUAUAUGUUCUGGUUUUUCUGGAUGUAAUGUCCUGAAAAUAUCAAUGAAGGCUAAACUUUUCUAUUACGUCAUUUAGUAUUUCUGUUGCCUUAUUUUCUUUCUAGAGUGUCUGUCCAUUUAUGUGAGUGGGGUGUUAAAAGUCUGCUACUAUUAUAUUUCCACCACUUUCUCCUUCUGUGUCUGCUAGUGUUUGUCGUAUGUAUCUGGGUGCUCCUAUAUUAAGGGCAUAUAUAUUGAUGAGUGUAAUAUCCUCUUCAUGAAUUGAUCCUUCUAUCAUUAAGUAAUGUCCUCUUGGUUUUUGUCUAUGGCCUUCGUUUUAAAGUGUGUUUUGUCUGAUAUGAGUAUUGCAACUCCUGCUUUCCUGUCUUUUCUAUUUGCAUGAAAUAUCUUUUUCUAUCCCCUCACUUUGAAUUUAUAUGUGUCCUUUGCCCUUAGGUGAGUCUCUUGUAGGCAGCAUGUUGUAGGCUCCUGGUUUUUUUGUUUGUUUGUUUCGGGGUUUUUUUUGUUGUUUUGUUUUGUCUUUUUGCUAUUUCUUGGGCUGCUCCCGUGGCAUAUGGAGGUUCCCAGGCUAGGGGUCGAAUCGGAGCGGUAGCCACCAGCCUACGCCAGAGCCACAGCAACGCAGGAUCUGAGCCACGUCUGCAAGCUACACCACAGCUCACGGCAAUGCCGGAUCCUUAACCCGCUGAGCAAGGCCAGGGACUGAACCUGCAACCUCAUGAUUCCUAGUCAGAUUCGUUAACCACUGCGCCACGAUGGGAACUCCUGGCUCUUGUUUUUUUUAUCCAGUCUGCCACUCUAAGUCUUUUGAUUGGAGCAUUCAGUCCAUUGAAAUUUAAAGUAAUUAUUGAUAAAUAAUGUAUUUGUUGCCGUUUUCAACCUUGCUUUCCAGUUGAUUCUGUUGUUUCUCCUUUGUUCCUUUCUUUUUUUGUUGGGUGAUUUCCUUUUAUUUUAUGCUAGUGUGUCCUCCUCUUUUCAGUUUUUGUGAAUGUACUGUUUGCUUUUGAUUUGUGGUUGCCCUCUUUUUCAGGUAUGUUAACCCCUUCCUAUAUCUGCUUGCUUUAGCCUGAUAGUUACAUAAGCUCGAACACAUUCUAAAUAAUGUCUAGAUAAUGUCUAAAUAAUGUCUAAAUAAUGUCUAGAUUUUCUUACUUUUCCUUCCCCAUACUUUAUGAUUUUGAUGUCCUUUUUGAACAUGUUCUUUUUUAUCCUUUUGCUUUUCCUUGUGUUUAUCGUCACUUUUACAAUAGGUUUGUAUUUUGUUUUGUUUUCUUUUCUUUUAGGUCUGUAUGCUGGCUUAUUGAUUACUUUCCAGUUGUGAUUUUCUCCAUCCUCGUCUUUUUUAUUUAGAAGAGCCCUUUCAGUAGUUCUUUUACAGUGGGUUUAGUAUUGCCGUACUCUCAGUUUUUGUUUGUUGGGGAAAUUAUUUCUCCUUCUAUUUUAAAUAGUCUUACUGGGUAGAGUAUUCUAGGCUGCACAUUCUUCCCUUUUAGAUCUUCGAGUAUAUCUUGCACUCUCUGCUGACCUGUACUAUUCUGUAAUCAGCUGAUCGCCUUGUGGGGGGGGGUAGUUUCCCUUAUAAUGAACUCUUUGCUUUUCUCUUGCUGCCUUUAGACUCUUCUCUUUAACCUUUGCUGCUUUUAUUAUGAUAUAUCUUGGUGUGGGCCUGUUUGGUUUCAACUUGCUUGGGGCCCUCUGUGUUUCUUGUAUCUUGAUAUUUGUUCCUUUAGAUUCGGAAAGUUUUCAGGCAUAAUUUCUUCAAAUAUACUUUCAAUCCUCUCUUCUUUUUCAUCUCCUUCUGGAAUUCCUAUUAUGCAUAGAUUGGCCUGCUUUAUAUGGUCCCAUAGAUCUCUUAUAUUGCUUUCAUGUUUUUUUCAUUUGGUUUUCUGUCUGCUGUCCUGAUUGGGUGAUUUCCAUUAUUCUGUCUUCCACGUCACUAAUUCGUUCCUCUGCAUUAUUCAUUCUCUCCAGUGCCUUUAACUCAGCUUGCAUCUCUGCAAAUGAAUUUUCUCAUUUUCCUUGGCUCCUCGUAUUUUCUAGUUCCUUUCUAAAGUAAUCUGCAUAACUGUUCAGAUCUGCUCUUAAUUCCUUAAGUAUUUUCACUAUUUCCUUUUUGCACUCGGUGUCUGUUAGACUGCAGAGGUCUGUUUCACUGUUUGUGCUUUCAGGGGAAUUCUCCUGUUCUUUUAACCGGGAAUGAUUCCUGAGCUUCUUUAUUUUGCUUCUGUUUUUCUUAUUCAUGAGUUUAAGAAUAACAACUACUGUAGUCUUGGAGGGGCAAGAGCUCCCCUGGGUAUUUUGUGAGGCUUACUAUUUAUUUUUGGUGGGAGGACUGCUUUGGUAUCUCUUUUCUCAGUGUGCGCAGGCUCUUACCUCCUUGAUAGGGUGCUGCCUGUGCUUCCAGGGAAAUGGAGGCAGUGAGCAGGGCUCAUAGCCAGUACCUGGUUGUUGGGCCCCCGACAGUAGCACGGACCCUUGGAAAGGUUGCAGGGCCUUGGGAAGUGGCAUUGACCCUGACACCCAUGGCAUUUGGCAGUGGCAGCCGCAGGGCGUGUGCAUUCCCAGGGGAGUGAGAGCAACAACGGGUGGUGCUCAGUUGCAGUGCCCUCCUCUGAGGUGACUGGGGCCACAGUGGUGCCUGUUCAUGGACCCCUAGUGGUGGCAGGCCACGCCCACCUCUGGAGUCUAACAUGACUGGGAUGUUUGCCCCACCGCCUGUAGAUCACACAAGGGUGUGCAGGAGGCUCUGUCACCCGUGGCCCACAGAAGAGAGGCCUGUUGCCCAUAGCCCUUUUAGAAAAAUAAUCAGUUUUCGGGGUUCCCAUCAUGGCUCACCGGAAACGAAUCUGACUAGCACUCAUGAGGAUGCAGGUUAAGGGUCUGGCAUUACCAUGAGCUGUGGUGUAGGUCACCGAUGCAGCUUGAAUCUGACAUUGCUAUGGCUGUGGCAUAGGCCAGCAGCUACAGCUCCAAUUCAGCCCCUAGCCUGGGAACCUCCACAUGCCAUGAGUGCAGCCCUAAAAGAAUCAGGAGUUCCUAUUGUGGCACAUCAGAAACAAAUCUGACUAGUAUCCAUGAGGAUGCAGGUUAAGGGUCUGGCAUUACCAUGAGCUGUGGUGUAGGUCGCAGACACACUCCAAUCCCAUGUUGCUAUGGCUGUCUUGUAGCUCAGCAGCUGUAGCUCUGAUUCGACCCCUAACCUGGGAACU
This 4269-nucleotide long non-coding RNA is filed under the name Sus scrofa (pig). RNAcentral describes it as "lncRNA (ENSSSCG00065041165.1)". The record is from RNAcentral. Lineage: Eukaryota; Metazoa; Chordata; Mammalia; Artiodactyla; Suidae.